This 73-nucleotide transfer RNA is filed under the name Ixodes scapularis (black-legged tick). It matches the Rfam family "tRNA". Rfam says of the family: Transfer RNA (tRNA) molecules are approximately 80 nucleotides in length. Lineage: Eukaryota; Metazoa; Arthropoda; Arachnida; Ixodida; Ixodidae. The record is from Rfam by way of RNAcentral.
CCCCUGUUAGCUCAGUUGGUAGAGCGCUCCACUUGUAAUGGAGAGGUCCCGGGUUCGAUACCCGGACCAGGCG